AAAUAAUGGCAAAAGGUAAGUAGACUGAUUCUACCCUGAGGUGCACAUGGUUAUCUCUAUUCUCUACUGUUAACA
Molecule: small RNA, 75 nt
Filed under: Salix viminalis (osier)
Lineage: Eukaryota; Viridiplantae; Streptophyta; Magnoliopsida; Malpighiales; Salicaceae
Source: RNAcentral